Molecule: ribosomal RNA, 96 nt
Filed under: uncultured bacterium
Lineage: Bacteria
Description: partial 16S ribosomal RNA
Source: RNAcentral
CCGCCCGUCACAUCACGAAAAGUGGGUGAUACUAGAAGUCGUCGUGCUAACCUGCAAAGGGAGUAGACGCCCAAGGUAUGACUCAUGAUUGGGGUG